UGAGGAGGGAAGAGGGGUGGUGGGAAACAGAAUUGGAUAGAAUAUCCCACAUCCACCAUGCUCAGGACCCAGCGAUCUGAUGUGAUCUGGGACCAAGCACAAUAGAAGUGGAAGAGUCAAUUCACAAAGAGGGGGUAAG
Molecule: long non-coding RNA, 139 nt
Organism: Dermochelys coriacea (leatherback sea turtle)
Lineage: Eukaryota; Metazoa; Chordata; Testudines; Dermochelyidae
Exons: 3
Source: RefSeq, a predicted model, not a curated record